RNAcentral lists this ribosomal RNA (330 nucleotides) under uncultured eukaryote. RNAcentral's name for it is "partial 18S ribosomal RNA". It matches the Rfam family "Eukaryotic small subunit ribosomal RNA", at positions 1470 to 1796 of the family's 1831-position model. The record is from RNAcentral.
CCCUUAGAUGUCCGGGGCUGCACGCGCGCUACACUGAAUGAAUCAGCGUGCUAGAAAACCUUGUUUGACAUGGCUAGGUAACCCAUUGAAAAUCAUUCGUGAUUGGGAUCGGGACUUGCAAAUGUGUCCCUUGAACGAGGAAUUCCCAGUAAGUGCGGGUCAUCAGCUCGCGUUGAUUACGUCCCUGCCCUUUGUACACACCGCCCGUCGCUGCCCGGAACUGAGCCGUUUCGAGAAGACUAAGGAUUGCUGACUUGAGGCCUUCACGGGCUUCUAGUCGGUGAAAAUCAAUUUAAUCGCAGCGGCUUGAACCGGGCAAAAGUCGUAACA